AAGUGUUGGUUAAGUCAUAACCUAGAAUUAGAUUCUAAGGGCUUCUAAGAGUUGGUAUAGAAUGUUCAUGCCCAAAGCAAAUACAAAUUCCAAGAACUGGAGGAUCAAUCUAGGUCAAAGUCUGUUAGAAGAAAGUCGAGAUUCAACACAAAGAUUAACUCUAAAUGACAAACUCAGAAGGCUUGAAGUGGAAUCCAGGUUGAAGUCAUACAGCCAAAAAUGUAGAUCCAGGGGAAGGUGAACUCGAAGCAGAGUCAGGUGUAUAUCACUUAAGGGGGCUCUGAAACCUAGUGGGUAUUUGUGGUUUGUCUUCAUGAACUGGUGGGUUCAAAGAGGGAUCUUGAUGGGAUCAGGUUGUGUUACUGGCCUAGGACAGGGAAAACAUAGGAGUUAAGAUUGGUGAAAGAUCUAAAGAUCACAACCUGGAGAAUUUUUGACUAAGGGACUUACAAUUCAUUUUAUAGGCCAUGUGGAUUAAGUAAGGGAUUAAAGAGGAACAAGGAAUGGUCCAAUUCACACUGACAGUAUCUUUCAAGCAAGAGUAGGGAGGUUGGAUUGGGGGAGAAUGAGGCAGGAGGCAGGACAAUUCGCUGGUUAAGAGAUGACUGCAGUUGUUCAGGUGUGAGAAGAGGGAGCCAACCUAGGGCAGGUCAUAGGAGAGUGAGCGCUGAACAUUUACUCAAGGGUAGGUAUGUUGAGAAGGUAGAUGCAAUAGCAUGUUUGUCUUAUUGUAUGUAUGGUGUGAGGGAAAAGUUGACUUACAGAUAUCUAGGUGGUUGGCAGUGUCAGCAGCAGACAGAGAGAGGUCCAAGGGGGAAAGGUUUCCUCGAGAAAGAUGUUGAGUUUAGUUUUGGACACGAUGCUUUUGUGGUUCCCACAGGAAAGCUAGGUGCAGUGAUUGGUAGUCCACUGGAACUACUGGCCAAAAAUUGCAGGAAGAGAUAGCGUAGAGAUAGUGAUGAUGCUAUCAGAGAAGGGAGGCUUUCACCCAGACAGAAGAUAGUGAAAAGUAGCCUGAAGGUCUAGAUCCCCUGAUUUUAGGUUAAAGACAUGAGAAAAAACACCCGGAAGGAAAGAGAAGGAUGACUUCAAGGGCCAGAAGGAAUGGACUGGUCUUGAGUGGGAGAGGUGGCACCUUCAUCCACUGAGUCCAGCCAGGCCUGGAUGGGAAUAGAAACAGAUACAGACUGUUUAAUAGGUGUUGGGUAAAAACAUUGAGGUAAUUCUUUUUCACAUAAGUAAGAGGCAUUGUUUUCUACUAUGCACUAGAGCAGAGGUCAGCAAACUAUUUUCCUGAAUGGCUAGGCUAGAUCACCAAUAGUUUAGGCUUUGUGGGCCUAAAGGUCUCUGUCAGAAUGACUCCACUCUUGUUACAGCACAAAAGUAGCUAUAGAGGUGCCUUAAACAAAUGCUGUGUUCCAAUAAAACUUUAUUUAAAACAGGUGGUGGGCCCAAUUUAGCCUGCAAGCCAUAACGUGCUGACUCCUGUAUUACAGGGUUGAGGCUUGAAGGGCUGAAGGUUUGAAGUGAAUGUUGGAGGUUUGGAUUCCUCUUUUUGGGGAAACAGGAGAGGGUUUCCCAGGGGACUGCAGUUGGAUUCUUAGGCCAAGGAAGAGAGACACAGACAAGACCGAAGCUGGAGGAGCAGCUGCUGGUCCAUCCGCUGCCAACAAUUGGCAGCAGGUUCCUGGGGACACUGUAGGCACCUGGUUCACACAGGACCAGCACAGCUGGUCCAGACUUUGACUAGCAGAAUAUGGCUUCCUUUGUCACCAAAGUGACCGGCCCUGUGAUCUUGCUGCAGCCUGCUGAAACUGAGAGGGAAACAGUGAAAGCAGUACACCUCCACGGAGCAGGUGCAAGUCACAUUUCACUAAUGAACAAUGGGCACUUUGCACACAGGAGGCUUUGAUCUGAGCUCUAAAAAGCCCUUCUGUUGGACAGGCUGUUGGCUGAGGCAGGCGGCAGUGAGAAGCGUUGGGAAGAAUCCUUUAUCCAAGUGAGUCAGUGCAAGAGCUAUCAUCAAACAAUACGGGCAGAGUCAAACACUCUCAUUCCCAGGGAUCUCCUUGGGAGAAAGCAAUGGGUUUAUGGGAGCAAAAUAUUCAUGAAACCACAGAUCUCCAUGAAUGGCAGAUGAAGUCCAAACCUCCAUCCCCACCCCGCCACCUGUUAUCACCACACCAGUCUGCUCUAUAUCCCUAGCCCAUGCCGGGAUACUUCCAGUAAACAUAGAGCCCAGUAAUUCCUUUAGUCCAUCAAUCAAUUGAUUAUAUAGUUGAACCACCCCCCAAAUGAAUAAGACAUUUCUUCUCUAUUAAACUUAAAUCUAUCUUCUACCUCUUGAUUUCAGUUCUGCCUUCGGGAGUUACACAGGACAAUUCUACUUGAAGAAGGGGGCAGCCAUAUGAGACCACUAUUUCUGUCUAUUUAAAGACCACUCUCAUGACUUCCAGGAAAUGUUCAUAGGGCAUCUUUUCACAAAUUAAAAAUUCAAAAUUAAAUACUUAAAUUAAAAUAAAUAAAUUUAUAAAGAAAAAUAAAAUAAGAUACACGGCUACCUUCAUGUAUGAAAUGGUGCCUUCUCCCUCCACAGUGAACUCCAAGGUUCCACUGAAAAAUACUGUCCCUUCCUGUAAAAAUCAGCAGAAUUGCAAGCAUUUUAUGAUGAAAGAGACUGUAGAGAUCGUUUCAUCUAAGACUUCAUUUCACAGAUGGGGAAACAGAGGCUCACUGGGAUGAAGUCCCGCGGUAAUUCAGAGUCAAGACAAGAGGUCCAGCCAGUUUGGGGCUUGCAACUCUGUGUCAUGUCGCCCUGGUGCUGCCUGCGAUCAAGCGUAAGAAUAAAGACUAUGACUCUGUGAAAA
Long non-coding RNA from Lemur catta (Ring-tailed lemur), 2867 nucleotides. RefSeq lists it as uncharacterized. The record is from RefSeq and is a predicted model, not a curated record. The transcript has 2 exons. NCBI's taxonomy places the organism in Eukaryota, Metazoa, Chordata, Mammalia, Primates, Lemuridae.